GACGGAGGAUGCAAGCGUUAUCCGGAAUGAUUGGGCGUAAAGCGUCCGCAGGUGGCAGUUCAAGUCUGCUGUCAAAGACCGGGGCUUAACUUCGGAAAGGCAGUGGAAACUGAACAGCUAGAGUAUGGUAGGGGCAGAGGGAAUUCCUGGUGUAGCGGUGAAAUGCGUAGAGAUCAGGAAGAACAUCGGUGGCGAAGGCGCUCUGCUGGACCGUAACUGACACUGAGGGACGAAAGCUAGGGGAGCGAAUGGG
This 253-nucleotide ribosomal RNA is filed under the name uncultured bacterium. RNAcentral's name for it is "partial 16S ribosomal RNA". It matches the Rfam family "Bacterial small subunit ribosomal RNA", at positions 524 to 776 of the family's 1533-position model. The record is from RNAcentral.